RNAcentral lists this ribosomal RNA (253 nucleotides) under uncultured bacterium. RNAcentral's name for it is "partial 16S ribosomal RNA". It matches the Rfam family "Bacterial small subunit ribosomal RNA", at positions 524 to 776 of the family's 1533-position model. The record is from RNAcentral.
GACGGAGGAUGCAAGUGUUAUCCGGAAUCACUGGGCGUAAAGCGUCUGUAGGUGGUUCGAAAAGUCCACUGUUAAAAAUUGAGGCUUAACUUCAAAGAUGCCGUGGAAACUUUCAAACUAGAGUAUGGUAGGGGUAGAGGGAAUUUCCAGUGGGGCGGUGAAAUGCGUAGAUAUUGGAAAGACCACCGAUGGCGAAGGCACUCUACUGGGCCACUACUGACACUGAGAGACGAAAGCUAGGGGAGCAAAUGGG